This 296-nucleotide ribosomal RNA is filed under the name uncultured bacterium. Its description in RNAcentral is "partial 16S ribosomal RNA". It matches the Rfam family "Bacterial small subunit ribosomal RNA", at positions 775 to 1067 of the family's 1533-position model. The record is from RNAcentral.
GGAUUAGAUACCCUGGUAGUCCACGCCGUAAACGAUGAUUACUAGGCGGUCGGGGUGUUAACUCUCUGACUGCCGGAGCUCACGCAUUAAGUAAUCCGCCUGGGGAGUACGGUCGCAAGGCUAAAACUCAAAGGAAUUGACGGGGGCCCGCACAAGCGGUGGAGUAUGUGGUUUAAUUCGACGCAACGCGAAGAACCUUACCUGGAUUUGACAUCUCGGGAAUCUUUUCGAAAGUUUAGAGUGCCCUUCGGGGAACCCGAUGACAGGUGCUGCAUGGCUGUCGUCAGCUCGUGUUG